UGUCCUAGAUUAUUUUGUCUAUCGUUACUCUUGAAAAAUGUUUUUGUAUGUGACCAUCACUGAAAUAAGACGAACUGUUUUUAUUUUAUCUAAGAAAUAUUAUCAGUUAUUUCAGGUUGCAUGGAUUCAUGAUCAAAUGGAAAAUACAAAAUACGCGAAAGACGGAAUAUGCAAAGACGGAAAAAUAGCCGCAUAUUUAAUCGUUUGAAGACAAAUCAAAUCAAGGGAUAAAUAUGUCAAUACUUUAAACCUCAAGGGAAUUUAUUAGAAAUUCAUUUAUUUUAAAUGAAUUAAUGAGAUUUCUCAUAUUGUGUUGUGGAAAUGAGAAGUAAAAACACACGCUCCAUACUCCAUAUUGAAAAGUCAAAGAAAGAAGCAUACCACUUGCAAAUCUAGCCUACAACCUAUGCUCGUUUUCUUUCAUGAUUAAACUCAACUACAUUUAGAUAUUUAAUGUCUUGUAUCUAUGUAUUUGAUCGUGUGUAUGUAUACAAGAGUCAUAGCCAUAGUUUAUGUGUGUUUUAUUUUGUUCAUCCCUUUCAACUUCAACCUCAAGCAUAAGCUUCAUCCUUGUGAAGUAAAGUCAGGAACACCAAGAACCAACAACACCACCUUCAUUCAUCAUCACCUUAUACCUCAAUUUUAACCACAUAAUUCCACACUCAAAACAACCUCAAAAUACUCUCCAAACACCCUCCAAAAACCUUCCUUAAACCUCCUCCAAAAACCUUUUUAAAUCACCUCAACCAUCACCACCUUGCUGUUUUUCGACAUCAGAAUUUGCAUGUUAGAAAACAAAAAACCGAGCACAACAAAGCCAAAAUACUACUAGGGAGAUUUUCACCAUAAAUUCUUCAGGAGCUUACCUACGUCUAGAAAUUUUUGUGGACGAUUUUGACCAUGGGAAACCCCAAAGAGACGCGAGAGAGUAUUGGCUAUCCAGAGAGAUUUCUGUUUUCGAGUUCAGAAUCUUCAUGUUAGUAAACAAAAAAACUGAGCACAACACAGCCAAAAUACGACUAGGGAGAUUUUCACCAUCAAUUCUUCAGGACCUUACCUACGUUUAGAGGUUUUCGUGGAGGAUUUUGAUCAAGGGAAACCCCAAAGAGACGCGAGAGAGAAUUGGCUAUCCAGAGAGAUUUUUGUUUUCGAGUUCAGAAUCUUCAUGUUAGUAAACAAAAAAACCGAGCACAACAAAGCCAAAAUACUACUAGGGAUAUUUUCACCCUCAAUUCUUCAGAACCUUACCUACAUCCCAAAAUUUUCGUGGACGAUUUUGACCAAGGGAAACCCCAAAGAGACUCGAGAGAGUAUUGGCUAUCCAGAGAGAUUUACUCCGAAAAUCUACAUCCAUCACCACCCAAAGCUCCUUCAACUUCACCAUCUUUGCUGCCUUACACCACCAAAAUUACAACCUUAUUCCACCUCCUAACACCCUCCAAAUACCCACUCCAACCUCAUCAAAUCUCCUCAAAACACCCGAUACCCGUAUACAAAUACAUGACUCGUGUACUUUGCACUGUUUUGUAAACAAUCCAUUUUACAUGAAAAUGAACUUUUUACUACUUAUCAAAUACCGGAUUGAUCUUUGAACAAAUAUCGACCAGUCGUUCCAAGAGUCCCAAUAUCGACCGGUCCUUCCAAGAGAACAAAUAUCGACCAGUCGUUCCACGAGUCCAGUUCAGUCAAUUUAUUGACGAACCUACUUGAUAUAUAUUUAUAUAUAUAUAUAUAUAUUUUAUUAUAGCUUUAUGUCAUUUAAAUACAGUCAUUUAUAUUAUUUAUAGCUUUACGUCAUUUAAAUAUAGUCAUUUAUAUUAUUAUAGCUUUCAGUCAUUUAUAGCUUUCAUAUUUAUACUUAUUCCGCAAUUAUUAUUCUUUAUAUAUAUUUACAUCUUAUAUCUUAAACUUAUAUAUCUAUCACACAGUGACCGGUAACCGAGCCUUUUGUCGCAGUGAUCAGAUUUUUAUAUUUCCAACAAUCGGUAUCUGAGCUGAUAUAUAAAAGGAAUAAUAUCCAACAAUUGGUAUCAGAGCUUGUGUGAUUUACCUUGAAAUUUUUGUCGAAAAACUUUUGGUUAUAGCGUUUAUAAACCUUCCAUAAGCUUUUCUUUAAAAAUUUCAUUUUAAUAUCACUUGUUCAAAAUCCUUUCAAAAAAAAUGUCUUUGGCAAAUUACUCCAACAUGAACUCUGUCUCCAUUGCAAAUAGCUUAGGAUCUGGUUCACGGGCACCCAUACUUAUUCCUGAAGAGUAUAAUUCGUGGGUUGGCCGUAUGAAUCUUCAUCUUAAUGCUAUAAAUGAAGAUGUCUGGAAGUGUGUAGAAGGAACAUAUGUUACUCCAGAAAAUAUGGCUACUCUUGCUACAAAUCAAGCCACUCAAGUUGAAAUUACAAAAAAGUUGGAACUCCAAGCCAAAAAGGAACUUGUUUCUGGAAUACCUCACAGUAUUCUAAGUCAAAUGGAUGACAUUAUACUGUUAACCGCAAAUCAAAUUUGGGAGAAUUUGAAAAAUCGUUUUUGUGGAAAUAAAAGAAUCAUCGGAAACAAAAGAACAUCUGUUUUGAAUGAAUUUGAUAAUUUCAAAAUGCUUUCAUCAGAAACUAUCCAUGAUGCUCAUGAUAGGUUCAAUUUGAUUAUGGUUAAAAUGAACAAUUUGGGUAUCAAAAAGACACAACACGAGAUAAAUCUCAAGUUUUUAAACAAUCUUUUCGAAAGCUGGAAAAUGGUUAAACUCAUUAUUCAGGGAAAUCCAGCUAUUCAUACCGAAUCUUUGUACAAUUUGUAUGGAGAACUUCAAUCGUAUGAAUCCUCGAUUGACCCACCAACCAUUGCAGCUUUUGGAGGACCACUUGCACUUGUGUCCACAACUUCUCAAAACCAAACACCUUUCAAUGAUCAAAACUUUAAUCAUUUUAAUCAGACUACAUCUUUUCAAAACCAAGCCUUCCAGUCUGAUUCAAAUGAUGAAGCAGAUUAUCAACAACUGUGUGCGUUGGUUGCAAACACAAAUCUCCAGAGAUUUAUCCCAAAUCAUGGUCAAUCAAAUUUUAGACCAAAUUUUCAACCAAGACCAUCUUUUGGACAAAAUAACUCAAGUUUUCAACCAAGACCAUCUUUUGGUCAAAACAACUCAGGUUUUCAACCUAGACCUUACUUUGGACAAAAUUCUCAAAGACCUUCUUUCCAAAAUAACUCAAACCAAGGUUUUCAAAACCAGGGAUUUCAAAACGAUCCCAACUCAGGUCAUAAUCACAAUCCAAACAAUAGUUUUCAAAAUCAAAAUAGAGGUUUCCAAAAUCAAGGUUACAACAAUCAAAACAAUGGUUUUCAAAACAACCAAAAUUUUAGAUUCCAACAAAACCAUUCUCAACCUUCCCAACAAGCCCAAACUCAAACACCUGAAAGACUUCCGAUUAAAAGUCAAAAGGAUGAUAGUGAUGAAGAAGUGAUCAUUUGUCACAACUGCAAAGGAACAAAUCACUAUGCCAGAGAAUGUCGAGCCAAAAACAAAACCAAAAUCAAAGACUCAGCAUACUAUGCUCAAAGAGCCGAUGAAUUGAAGAAACUGGAAAACCAAGAAAAGCAAAGAGCAUUGAUGGCAAUCCAUGAACCAAGUGUGGAAUACUGGCCAACUUCUGAUGACGAAGCUGAACACGAACCAACACAAUCAAACUUCUGCUUCGUAGCUGGUGUUGAAAUACCUUCAAGAGCUCCAAACGUCAUAGAACAGGUAUGGUCUAUGAUCUCUGAACUUGGUUUUUCCAAAACAAUUUUUGAGUCCCACAUAACCAAAAUUGAGACUAGUCUGGAAGUUGAUCUCAAAACAUAUCAUGACACAAUGGUCAAUUAUGAUAUUUGCAAAUCUGAGUUACAAACCUUGCAACUCAAAUUUGGAGAAUUAACAAGAACGAAAAGCAAAUUGGAAAGAGACGUUGAAAGAAAAUCAGAAGAUUAUAAUCACGUCUUGGAACAAUUAAAUCAGUCCCUAAUUCAGAAAAGGGAUUUGGAACUAAAAAAUCAGUCAGUCAUUUCUUCUGAAAUAAAAGAUGUUUUAGAAAUGGAAAUCCUUCAGUUGAAACAAGACUUUCAAGAAUCAACUGACAAAUACAAUGUUUUAAAUGAAAAGCUGACUGAUUCUUUAAAACAAAUCAAUUCUCUUGAAACCGAGAAUAAAAGACUGAUAUGGAAUAUGGAUUCUAUCAAAGUUGCCAGAAAACUAAGUGAUGAUAUUUUCACCAAGGCAAACACCUUGGGAACUGGCAAAAUUGAUACGAAUUAUAGACCAGGAAUUGGAAGAGAAUCCUUUGAAAUUGAACAAGCAAAACAGAAAAACAUGACGAAUUGUGAAAACUCUGAAUCUACUCUACAUAAUCUUUUCACAUCUGUUAAUGAGGAAGAUUCAGAUGACGAAACAGUUAUCAACUGUAGUCCAGAUGAUACUGCUUUCAGUGUUUCCAAAAAGUCUUUCAAAAGAGUUGUAAAUUCUGAAACAGACUCUGCAAGUUCUUUAACUCACCAAAUCAAAAAUACUGAUGGAACCACUAAACUCAAAAACUUUUUGAAUGGAGAAAAUUCCUCUUAUAAGGAUGGUAGUACUUCUAUACCAACUGCUUUUCCUACAAUGACUUCAUCAAUUGUUGGAAAAACUAGUCUGGGACAAAAAUACUCCAAGAAACAACAAACAAGCAAAAAAUCCAUUCAAGUCACCAAAACCCCACUAAUCAAACCAAACCUUUUUGAAAAACAACCAAAGAAACCAAACGUCAUACCUCAUAAACAGGUUUCCAAACAAAAACCAAAAUCUUUUCAAAAACCUUUUGAAAACCGCUUUCAAGAUAUUACUUUUAAUCAUUCAAGGAACUUUCAAAAACCAUCACAUCCGAAAGUUUCAAACCAUCAUCCUCAAAAAGCUUUUCAAAACCGCCCAUCACAUCCCAGAUAUGAAGAAAACUUUUCAAACAAACCUUCACAUCUAGGAUAUCUUUCACCAAAUCACAGAUCUUAUCAACCCACAGGUUUUCAAAAACAAAUCGCAUUUUGGGUAAAAUUGAUAGAUCAAAUCAAACCUCAACCAUUCCAUCGUUAUAAACCAAACCAUUACAAUAAUGUGAAGUCAAAUGAUAAAAGAAAUUCAUUAAGAAAAGCACCCAAAAUAACAACUGACAAACCAGGACCCAUUCAGAUUUGGGUACCUAAACUUUCUGUCUGAUUGUAGGUACUUAAUGCUGGAGAACCCAAUGAUGAUACAUGGUAUAUUGAUAGUGGCUGCUCCAAGCAUAUGACAGGAAACCGGAACUACUUACGUGACUUCAAACCUAUACAAACCAAUCAAGAUGUUACCUUCGGCAACAACAUGAAAGCAAAAAUCAAAGGUUAUGGAAACAUAACAAAUGGUAAUUUUACCAUAAAGAAAGUUGCCUUCGUCGAUGACCUGAAACACAACCUCAUCAGUGUUUCUCAACUGUGUGAUAACAAUCUUGAAGUUCUUUUCACCAAACAACGAAGCUUGAUCAUGGACGCCAAAACAAAAGAUGUUAUAGUUGAUUCUGACCGUGCCGGAAAUAUGUAUCCACUUGACAUGGAUCUUAUCUAUGGUAAACCCGAUAUAUGUCUGCUAUCUAAAGCCCCAGCAGAUAUUAGUUGGUUAUGGCACCGUCGCCUUUCCCAUCUAAACUUUGGGUACAUCAACAAAUUAAUCGGCGAUGAUCUUGUUCGAGGGCUACCACUUCUGAAGCUUGAUAACGAAACUCUUUGUGCCGCAUGUGAAAAAGGAAAACUUUCCAAAUCCACUCACAAAAGCAUCUCAGAAUCUAGUGUAUCCGAACCACUAGAGUUGUUGCACAUAGACCUUUGUGGCCCUGCCACAACCCAAACCAUACAAGGGAAGAAGUACAUUCUUGUUGUCGUUGAUGGUUUCUCGCGCUUUACUUGGGUCUUUUUCUUAAGACUAAAAUCAGAAGCACCUGAAGAGAUGAUCAACUUCAUCAAACAAAUCGAGCUGAAGCUGAAACGACCUGUUCGAAGAAUCCGAAGUGAUAAUGGUUUAGAGUUCAAAAACAAUACUCUAGAUUCAUUUCUCAAAGACAAAGGAAUUGAACAUAACUUCUCAGCCCCAUACACUCCACAACAGAACGGUGUUGUCGAAAGAAGGAACCGGACUCUAUGUGAAGCUGCAAGAUCAAUGCUUAUCUUUGCUGAUCUGCCACAAUACUUCUGGGCAGAGGCAAUAGCCACCGCUUGCUACACUCAAAAUCAUUACUUAAUCCAUAACAUCUUCAUAAAACACCAUAUGAAGUCAUUAACAACCGAAAACCAUACAUCAAGUUUUUCCAUAUUUUUGGUUGUCGAUGCUUCGUAAAGAACAAUAAAGAUCACCUUUCAAAAUUUGAAUCAAGGUCGGAUGAAGGAAUUUUCCUUGGUUACUCAUUUUCUUCAGCUGCUUAUAGAGUACUGAACAAACGUACCAGAGUAAUUGAAGAAAGUACCGAUGUUCAUUUCGAUGAAUUUUAUGUCAGGAAAUUGGAUCGUGAACAUUUUGGUUCAAAAAUGAUUGAAAAUAUUUUUCAAAAUCCAAUUCAACAAACACCUUCUCCUGACAUAGACAUUGAAAUCGAUCUUGAUUUACUUUUUGAACAACCAAAAACUGCUUACAAUUCUGAACUUCUAACUACUUUAAUUGAUCCUACAGGAACACCCAGUGAAGUUAUUCCACAAACAAACCAAAAUGAUGCAGAUCAAUUCGAGGGGGAACCACCAACACAUACUUCCUCUUUGGAACAAACACCAAAUCCUCCUUUAAAUACCCAAUCCUUAAAUAGCCAAAACAACCCCGAUGCAUCAUUUAUGGGGGAACCUUCAAACCUAUUCCAAGAUGAAACUCCUGGAGAAGAACAAUGGGAUACUGAAACUCCAAUUAUUAUAGAGGAAGAGAAUCGCUUAAUAAAGUGGACCAGAAAUCAUCCAACAGACCAAAUCAUCGGAGAUCCCAACUUAGGCAUUCAGACUAGAGCCGCAUCCACAAAUGAAUGUUUAUUUGGAGCCUUUUUAUCCACGACUGAACCCAAAACCAUACAUUCUGCUAUAAAAGAUCCAGACUGGGUAAAAGCUAUGCAAGAAGAGCUAGCAGAAUUUGAAAGAAACGACGUAUGGAAUCUUGUUCCUACUCCACCCGAUGUUACUGUUAUAGGUUCAAGAUGGGUAUACAGAAACAAGACUGACGAUCAAGGAAUCAUUUGUCGAAACAAGGCACGUCUUGUAGUCAAAGGAUAUUCACAACAAGAAGGAAUCGACUACGAUGAAACAUAUGCUCCAGUUGCCAGAAUUGAAGCAAUUCGCAUCUUUCUUGCAUAUGCUGCACAUAAGAACUUCAAAGUAUUCCAAAUGGACGUUAAAUGUGCAUUCCUACACGGAGAGAUAGAUCGCGAAGUAUACAUCCAACAACCACCAGGUUUCGAAGAUCCCAAAUUUCCCGAUCACAGCUUUAAAUUGCAAAAAGCUGUCUAUGGCUUGAAACAAGCACCCCGAGCCUGGUAUGCCACGUUGUCAACCUUUCUCAAAGAAUCAGGUUUUAAAAGAGGUUCAAUCGAUCCAACCCUUUUUCGUAAAAUCUUUAAUAAACAUCUUUUAAUUGUACAAAUAUAUGUUGAUGACAUUAUUUUCAGUCCUACUGAUGAAUCUUUAAGUAUUAAGUUUGCAGAUUUAACGAAGAGCAAAUUUGAAAUGAGCAUGAUUGGGGAGAUGACUACUUUUCUCGGACAUCAAAUUAAACAGUCAACUGAUGGCAUUUUCAUCAACCAAGAGAAUUAUGUCAAAAACCUACUCACUCGUCUUUCAAUGGAAGAAUCCAAUACCGCAUAAACCCCAAUGGCUUUUGGAUACAAAAUUCAUGCAGACUUAAAUGGCAAACCCGUUUACCAGAAAAGAUAUCAUGGAAUGAUCGGAUCACUCUUAUACCUCAUUGCCAGCAGACCUGACAUCAUGUUUUCUACAUGUGUCUGUGCUAGAUACCAAGCAAAUCCUAUGGAAUCCCAUGUAGUUGCUGUGAAACGCAUCUUCAAAUACCUUAAAGGCACUCCCAAACAUGGCCUUUGGUAUCCAGCUAAAUCCGAUUUUCAGCUGAACGCUUUCACCGACUCAGACUACGGAGGAUGCAAGCUAGAUAGGAAGAGUACAUCUGGUAGCUGUCAAUUCCUAGGAGGUAGACUAGUGAGUUGGACUUCAAAGAAACAGACUUGUGUAUCCACAUCAACAGCAGAAGCUGAAUAUGUCGCUGCCGCCAGCUGUUGUUCACAAGUCAUAUGGAUGCAAACUCAACUGCAUGACUAUGGCUUCAAAAUCUCACAAAUUCCCAUAUUUUGUGACUCAACCAGUGCAAUUGCCAUUUCUCACAAUCCCGUUCACCAUUCCAUGACAAAGCACAUCGACAUUCGAUAUCACUUUAUCAAAGACAACAUUCAAAAGGGUCAUAUCGAACUACACUUCAUCAACUCCGAAGAUCAAAUUGUCGAUGUCUUCACUAUGAAACAAAGUUUCAAUACUUCCUAGGCCGUCUAGGAAUGCUAAAUCCAGAUAACAUCCAUCCUUAAACUUUUACUUUUUGUUUGUACAAAAAUGUGUUUACUUUCAUUCAAAAAGAAAAUUCAAAAACGUUUAAAAAUUGCUUUCUUUUCAAAAAUACCAAAAACAUUGAAAUAACCAAUAUUUCAAAAACAUUCAGAAAAACAAAUCUUCAAAAAUAUAAUAAAAGACUUGCNNNNNNNNNNNNNNNNNNNNNNNNNNNNNNNNNNNNNNNNNNNNNNNNNNNNNNNNNNNNNNNNNNNNNNNNNNNNNNNNNNNNNNNNNNNNNNNNNNNNNNNNNNNNNNNNNNNNNNNNNNNNNNNNNNNNNNNNNNNNNNNNNNNNNNNNNNNNNNNNNNNNNNNNNNNNNNNNNNNNNNNNNNNNNNNNNNNNNNNNNNNNNNNNNNNNNNNNNNNNNNNNNNNNNNNNNNNNNNNNNNNNNNNNNNNNNNNNNNNNNNNNNNNNNNNNNNNNNNNNNNNNNNNNNNNNNNNNNNNNNNNNNNNNNNNNNNNNNNNNNNNNNNNNNNNNNNNNNNNNNNNNNNNNNNNNNNNNNNNNNNNNNNNNNNNNNNNNNNNNNNNNNNNNNNNNNNNNNNNNNNNNNNNNNNNNNNNNNNNNNNNNNNNNNNNNNNNNNNNNNNNNNNNNNNNNNNNNNNNNNNNNNNNNNNNNNNNNNNNNNNNNNNNNNNNNNNNNNNNNNNNNNNNNNNNNNNNAAAUCAAGGGAUAAAUAUGUCAAUACUUGAAACCUCAAGGGACUUUAUUAGAAAUUCAUUUAUUUUAAAUGAAUUUAUGAGAUUUCUCAUAUUGUGCUGUGGAAAUGAGAAGUAAAAACACACGCUCCAUACUCCAUAUUGAAAAGUCAAAGAAAGAAGCAUACCACUUGCAAACCUAGCCUACAGCCUGUGCUCGUUUUCUUUCAUGAUUAAACUCAACUACAUUUAGAUAUUUAAUGUCUUGUAUCUAUGUAUUUGAUCGUGUGUAUGUAUACAAGAGUCAUAGCCAUAGUUUAUAUGUGUUUUAUUUUGUUCAUCCCUUACAACUUCAACCUCAAGCAUAAGCUUCAUCCUUGUGAAGUAAAGUCAAGAACACCAAGAACCAACAACACCACCUUCAUUCAUCAUCACCUUAUACCUCCAUUUUCACCACAUACUUCCACACUCAAAACAACCUCAAAAUACUCUCCAAAAAUCCUCCUUAAACCUCCUCCAAAAACCUUUUUAAAUCACCUCAACCAUCACCACCUUGUUGUUUUUCGACAUCAGAAUUUGCAUGUUAGAAAACAAAAAACGAGCACAACAAAGCCAAAAUACUACUAGGGAGAUUUUCACCAUAAAUUCUUCAGGAGCUUACCUACGUCUAGAAAUUUUUGUGGACGAUUUUGACCACGGGAAACACCAAAGAGACGCGAGAGAGAAUUGGCUAUCCAGAGAGAUUUCUGUUUUCGAGUUCAGAAUCUUCAUGUUAGUAAACAAAAAAACCGAGCACAACACAGCCAAAAUACUACUAGGGAGAUUUUCACCAUCAAUUCUUCAGAACCUUGCCUACAUUAGAUACAUAUAUGGCUACCCUUUGAUAACCGAACCCGAGACUUUGAUUCGGAAACAAAUUUCUGAAAAUAUUUUACAUAAGAUAUGUUAAACAAAGUCACAAACUUUCAAAACAAUCACUAUGUUUUAUAUAUCUUAUCUAUUGACAAAUCUUUUAUCUCGAAUCUUCAAAAGUUCAAAACUAUCAAUAUGAUUAUAUCAUACAUGUCCUUAUUUCAGCAAUGAUCACAUAGGGGAAAAUUGUUGAAAAAUGUUUUUGUAUGUGACCAUCACUGAAAUAAGACGAACUGUUUUUAUUUUAUCUGACAAAUAUUAUCAGUUAUUUCAGGUUGCAUGGAUUCAUGAUCACAUAGGGGAAAAUUGUUGAAAAAUGUUUUUGUAUGUGACCAUCACUGAAAUAAGACGAACUGUUUUUAUUUUAUCUGACAAAUAUUAUCAGUUAUUUCAGGUUGCAUGGAUACAUGAUCAAAUGGAAAAUACAAAAUAUGCGAAAGACGGAAUAUGCAAAGACGGAAAAAUAGUUAUUUUAUCUGACAAAUAUUAUCAGUUAUUUCAGGUUGCAUGGAUACAUGAUCAAAUGGAAAAUACAAAAUAUGCGAAAGACGGAAUAUGCAAAGACGGAAAAAUAGUCGCAUAUUUAAUCGUUUGAAGACAAAUCAAAUCAAGCGAUAAAUAUGUCAAUACUUUAAACCUCAAGGGAAUUUAUUAGAAAUUAAUUUAUUUUAAAUGAAUUUAUGAGAUUUCUCAUAUUGUGCUGUGGAAAUGAGAAGUAAAAACACACGCUCCAUACUCCAUAUUGAAAAGUCAAAGAAAGAAGCAUACCACUUGCAAACCUAGCCUACAACCUGUGCUCGUUUUCUUUCAUGAUUAAACUCAACUACAUUUAGAUAUUUAAUGUCUUGUAUCUAUGUAUUUGAUCGUGUGUAUGUAUACAAGAGUCAUAGCCAUAGUUUAUAUGUGUUUUAUUUUGUUCAUCCCUUACAACUUCAACCUCAAGCAUAAGCUUCAUCCUUGUGAAGUAAAGUCAAGAACACCAAGAACCAACAACACCACCUUCAUUCAUCAUCACCUUAUACCUCCAUUUUAACCACAUAAUUCCACACUCAAAACAACCUCAAAAUACUCUCCAAACAUCCUCCUUAAACCUCCUCCAAAAACCUUUUUAAAUCACCUCAACCAUCACCACCUUGCUGUUUUUCGACAUCAGAAUUUGCAUGUUAGAAAACAAAAAACCGAGCACAACAAAGCCAAAAUACUACUAGAGAGAUUUUCACCACAAAUUCUUCAGGAGCUUACCUAUGUAUACAAAUUUUCGUGGAUGAUUUUGACCACGGGAAACCCCAAAGAGACGCGAGAGAGAAUUGGCUAUCCAGAGAGAUUUACUCCGAAAAUCUACAUCCAUCACCACCCAAAGCUCCUUCAACUUCACCAUCUUUGCUGCCUUACACCACCAAAAUUACAACCUUAUUCCACCUCCUAACACCCUCCAAAUACCCACUCCAACCUCAUCAAAUCUCCUCAAAACACCCAAUACCCGUAUACAAAUACAUGACUCGUGUACUUUGCACUGUUUUGUAAACAAUCCAUUUUACAUGAAAAUGAACUUUUUACUACUUAUCAAAUACCGGAUUGAUUUUUGAAUAAAUAUCGACCAGUCCUUCCAA
Molecule: long non-coding RNA, 11767 nt
Filed under: Lactuca sativa (garden lettuce)
Lineage: Eukaryota; Viridiplantae; Streptophyta; Magnoliopsida; Asterales; Asteraceae
Description: long non-coding RNA (LSAT_LNC006612)
Source: RNAcentral